AGGAGCGCACAGACAUAUGAGAAUCAUAUGUGAAUCAGGAUUUUUGUUGCUGUGACAGCAUGACCAAAACUACUCAAGGAAGAGUUUGUUUUAGCUUCUGGUUGCAGAGGGGGCUGGACUCCAUGAUAGCAGGGAAGGCGUGGGCUGACGGCAAGGAGCAGGAAGCCAGCAGGUCGGUCCAACGAAUAGGAAGUGGAGCUGGCUAGGAACCUGCAAGGUUGCCCCUCCCAACGCUUCCAUCACCUCCCCGGAGCUCCUCCAGGGGAUCGAGUGGUCUAUAAGCCUAUCAGAAGCAUUUCUCAUUUCAGCACGACACUAAGUGUCCUAAGUCUGCACCGAGCUAUUGUGCCCAGCUAUCCACAGGUCAGCUCUACAGAGAGACAGGAAGUAUAUCCAAGUCCAUGGCGUGUAACCGACACCUCGCUGUUUCACCACAACAGAGACAAGGACCGGAGUGAAGAAAGGUCAUUUAUCCCCUAGGACACCGGAUGGGUCCAUACAAUCUUCAAGCCAGGAUAUCAGGGCUGCACAAUCAAGACAGACAACCCACCAGGAGAGAAAAACAAGCUUCCAAGGUGUCCUGGCACCUACCCACUGGGAGAGGCACUUCGGAGCUAGAGGCUGCAACUAAAGCCUCUGCGUACUCAGGUAAAUAUACAGAAUGAUCCCAAUCCCUCACACCUGGAGGGGCGGGGGCAGGGCGCCAGCCAUA
This is a long non-coding RNA of Mus musculus (house mouse), 712 nucleotides long. RefSeq annotates it as predicted gene, 52066. NCBI's taxonomy places the organism in Eukaryota, Metazoa, Chordata, Mammalia, Rodentia, Muridae. The record is from RefSeq and is a predicted model, not a curated record. The transcript is spliced from 3 exons.